Molecule: ribosomal RNA, 292 nt
Filed under: uncultured bacterium
Lineage: Bacteria
Description: partial 16S ribosomal RNA
Source: RNAcentral
GGACUACCAGGGUAUCUAAUCCUGUUUGCUACCCACGCUUUCGCACCUCAGUGUCAGAUACAGUCCAGUAAGCCGCCUUCGCCACUGGUGUUCCUCCUAAUCUCUACGCAUUUCACCGCUACACUAGGAAUUCCACUUACCUCUCCUGCUCUCAAGUUAGCCAGUUUCCAAUGACCUUUUUGGGUUGAGCCCAAAAAUUUCACACCAGACUUAACUAACCACCUGCGUGCCCUUUACGCCCAAUAAUUCCGGAUAACGCUCGGGACCUACGUAUUACCGCGGCGGCUGGCAC